CAUUAAAAAACCAAACAAACAAGCAAACAAACAGAAGGCCUGUAGUGAUCUCUAAAGAGUGCCUUUGGAAAGACAGAGGUGGAAAAAUCCCAUAGAAAAGGUUCAGCUCAGUGAAGGAAGUAUCAGCCAAAAUGAAAUACAGACUGGUCAGCAAAGUAUCAGGAUAUAAGAAGCUUAACACCCAUAACGGGCUGUGUUUAAGAUUGUUUUCAGCACCUAAGGGAGUGCCCAACAACUGGGGGAUGACUAAACAAGUUGUGGUAUGUGAAUGUGGCUGAAUACUAUUGUGUUGUAAAAAAUGAUGAAGGAGAUGGUUUCCAAGGAACCUGGGAAGACAAAAUGGAGUAAGCAAAGCCAGGAGGAGGAUUUAAGCAGUAACAGCAAUCGUAAGGACAAACAACCUUUAAAGACUUGGGAACUGAUUAAUUACCCCAAUGACCAGACAUCAUUCCAGAGGACGCCUGAUGAAUUGUGUUCAUUUCUGGAAAGGAAGAUAGAGGAGAUCCUUGAGAGAAGAACAUUUGAAAAGAUUCCUCCAUAUCACACUGAUGGUUAGCAUCCCUUAGAAACCCUUCAGAAUGGCAAAGUUGGGGAGUGGAAAAGGAAAAUGAGAAAUGCUGAAGAGAGGGAAGAAGAGAGAUGGAGAGAAAGUGUGUUGAAUAAAAAAAAUGUUUUAAGGAGAAAAGAAGGAAAAUAUAGAGCUAAUGGAAAAAAUAAAA
This is a long non-coding RNA of Monodelphis domestica (gray short-tailed opossum), 719 nucleotides long. RefSeq lists it as uncharacterized. NCBI's taxonomy places the organism in Eukaryota, Metazoa, Chordata, Mammalia, Didelphimorphia, Didelphidae. The record is from RefSeq and is a predicted model, not a curated record.